GAGCGCCGUAGCAAUACGGAGCGGCAGACGGGAGAGUAACACGUGGGAACGUGCCCUUCAGUUCGGAACAACCCAGGGAAACUUGGGCUAAUACCGCAUACGUCCCGGCGCGAGCCGGGGGAAAGAUUGAUCGCUCCAAGAGGGGCCCGCGUCGGAUUAGGUAGUUGGUGGGGUAACGGCCCACCAAGCCUGUGAUCCGUAGCUGGUCUGAGAGGAUGAUCAGCCACACUGGGACUGAGACACGGCCCAGGCUCCUACGGGAGGCAGCAGUGGGGAAUAUUGGACAAUGGGCGCAAGCCUGAUCCAGCCAUGCCGCGUGGGUGAUGAAGGCCCUAGGGUUGUAAAGCCCUUUCGGCGGGGAAGAUAAUGACGGUACCCGCAGAAGAAGCCCCGGCUAACUUCGUG
This 405-nucleotide ribosomal RNA is filed under the name uncultured bacterium. Its description in RNAcentral is "bacterial SSU rRNA". It matches the Rfam family "Bacterial small subunit ribosomal RNA", at positions 64 to 507 of the family's 1533-position model. The record is from RNAcentral.